Molecule: ribosomal RNA, 460 nt
Filed under: uncultured bacterium
Lineage: Bacteria
Description: partial 16S ribosomal RNA
Rfam family: Bacterial small subunit ribosomal RNA
Source: RNAcentral
CCUACGGGGGGCAGCAGUGAGGAAUAUUGGUCAAUGGGAGGAAUCCUGAACCAGCCAAGUCGCGUGCAGGAUGACGGCCCUACGAGUUGUAAACUGCUUUUGUACGGGGGUAAAAUGCUCCACGAGUAGGGUUUUGUAAGUACCGCAUGAAUAAGGACCGGCUAAAUCCGUGCCAGCAGCCGCGGUAAUACGGAAGAUCCGGGCGUUAUCCGGAUUUAUUGGGUUUAAAGGGUGCGUAGGCCGUAUUAUAAGGUUGCGGUGAAAUACCGAGGCUCAACCACGGCGCUGCGGCUGAAACUGGCGGACUUGAGUGCGAGUGCAGUAGGCGGAAUGCGUGGUGUAGCGGUGAAAUGCAUAGAUAUCACGCAGAACACCGAUUGCGAAGGCAGCAUGCGGGAGCGCUACUGACGCUGAAGCACGAAGGCGUGGGGAUCGAACAGGAUUAGAUACCCGAGUAGUC